Molecule: long non-coding RNA, 2100 nt
Organism: Symphalangus syndactylus (siamang)
Lineage: Eukaryota; Metazoa; Chordata; Mammalia; Primates; Hylobatidae
Source: RefSeq, a predicted model, not a curated record
AAGCUUCUCUGGUUACGGACUACAUUUCCCAGAGGGCCUUGGGGGCACAGUCCAAUGAGGAGCGAGCCGGGUGGCUGGCUGAGGGGCGUGCUUCAUGCUCGCGGGAUUUUUAAAAAUGGUUUCUCCUGGACCUUAUCCCAACUGCACCUGAGCCCUUGUUUCACCUCCUGAUGUGCUGGGUGUGGUUAGGCCUCGAGCCGGGAGCUAUUUGCCUCCCAGGAGGAAGCCAGAGCAGGGUUCCGCGGGGAAUGGCGGUGAGGGAGCCACUCGGGACGGGGAGGCCCUAAAAUGAAGAAGCUUCUGCCUGAGGAUUCGGGAGCGGCGAGCAGGGAAGUGGGAGUGUGUGUAUGUGUGUGUGUGAAUGAGCCAGAGGCUGCCUGGUGGGGCCCUGCCGUGGCCCAGUGACUGAGAUGAUUGUCUUCGUCUGUGGGGUAAUGCGAACAAGCCCCGUUCCCCUAGCUGUGAUGCAUGCGGGGUUGACGCGGCCGGGCUUUGUCCCCAUAAACUGUGACACAGGUGUGUGUAGACGUCUAUGAGGGCCAUAGCGCCGGGCUGUAAGGGCACCUGUAGGGGUGACGCAGCCGGGCUGUGUCUCUGCACCUCCGCUCUGUGCGAGGUCAAUGUUGGUGGGGUCUGCAGAGGUGGCACGGCCAGGACGGGUCUCCGUGUCUCUGAAAUGUGCCUUUGCACUUCUGUCAGGUUGACAGGGACAGUCAGUGUCUCUCUGGUGUGAGCGUCUGUGGGUGUGAAAGGGCCAGCGAGUGUGCGGCUGUGACUGGUCGGGAUCGGGCCUGGAUGCAUGGCCUUUUGAGUGAGCACAGGUGUGUGCGACCAUGUCACCUGUCCUUCUAGUGUCUCCAUUGCUUCCUGUGCCUUCGCCUUCCAGCCAUGUGGUACCUGCUAGGGAGCAGUGGUCCCAAAGUGACGUGAGAGGCUCGACGCUGUUGUGAAAAUGACCAAGAAGAAGGCUUCACAAGUCACGAGAUGGCAAUUUUGGAGCCAGAAGUGCUCUCCAUGCACACUACCUGACGACAAGAGGAAGUAACCUCAAGAAUAGAAUUCCUUUUGGGGAAGAAAGAGCUGGCCUUCAGGAAAAGCAUCCCGGAGGAGGAAGAAGUGUUAUAUGUCCUAAAGUAAGGUUUCAGGGAGGCCUCAGGAGCUUUUACUCCACUUUACUUGGAAGAUUUUGCAAGAUCUCACUCACCAUGGCCAAGACAGCACCAAGACAUGAGGGAUCUGCCUCCGUGACCCAAACACCUCCCACCAGGCCCCACCUCCAGCACUGGGGAUGACAGUUCAACUUGAGAUUUAGACGGGGCGAAUAUUCAAGCAAUAUCGCCCACGGAUGUCGAGUUAUAACCAAAUAAUUCUGAAUUCACAGGUUCCAUGUGUAGGUAAAUACAAUUUGUUUUCUAACUUGUAUUUUUCUAAUAAUAUUUGAUGCAAAGGGAAGACCAAUAGGGUAAGGCGAAUUAAUGCUUGUCUGCUGGGCCAUCAUGGCUUGAAGGACAAGUUCAGAGGUAAAAUUCACACUCCCCUCAGACAUAAAAGGAAGCAGCCUCAAAGCAACUGUCGGUAUGUACAGGGCAUCACUUGGCGUUUUGGCCAUUUUUCCAGUCAGUGCUGCAGCACAUGUGGAAAUAUGUGUCUGUGUGUGCAUGUACAUUGGCAUCCGCAGGGGUAACCGGGACCUGGCGUGUGAGUAGAAGACGCACUUGCGUGGGUGUGUGUGGGGUUGAUGUGCCAGCUCUGUCCCCAUAAUUGUGACAGGUGUGCGAGUAUCUUGGGGGCAAUGGGACCCAUGCAGGGUGACCAUCCUUAUAGAGGGAGGUCAGCUACACAGUCUAUAACUCCAGUUAAUACAACGUAUACCCCAGGAAUCUCUGAAACACCCUGAUCCCGGUGCCCUCUGACUUCUGAUUGUUAUAGAUAUGGCCUGAGGGCAGGUGUGCCUUAUAAGGUAUUUUCUAAUGUAGGCUGUGCACCUAGAAAGACCUUAGCUUCUCAUUCUUAUCCUCCUCUUUCCCCUAAACCAACAUCCUUCUGAAAAAGCACCCCUUGAGAGGAAGAAUCAUUUACCCAUCUUAAAAUCAAGGUUCA